UGAGGAAUAUUGCACAAUGGGCGCAAGCCUGAUGCAGCAACGCCGCGUGCGGGACGACGGCCUUCGGGUUGUAAACCGCUUUUCUGAGGGACGAGCGAGGACGGUACCUUAGGAAUAAGUCUCGGCUAACUACGUGCCAGCAGCCGCGGUAAAACGUAGGAGGCGAGCGUUAUCCGGAUUUACUGGGCAUAAAGCGCGCGCAGGUGGCCGUGUAAGUUGGACGUGAAGGCUCCUGGCUUAACUGGGAGAGGUCGUUCGAUACCGCGGGGCUUGAGGUUGGGAGGGGGGUGUGGAAUUCCCGGUGUAGUGGUGGAAUGCGUAGAUAUCGGGAGGAACACCUGAGGCGAAGGCGGCACCCUGGCCCACACCUGACACUGAGGUGCGAAAGCGUGGGGAGUAAACAG
This 404-nucleotide ribosomal RNA is filed under the name uncultured bacterium. RNAcentral describes it as "bacterial SSU rRNA". It matches the Rfam family "Bacterial small subunit ribosomal RNA", at positions 355 to 775 of the family's 1533-position model. The record is from RNAcentral.